RNAcentral lists this ribosomal RNA (566 nucleotides) under uncultured bacterium. RNAcentral's name for it is "partial 16S ribosomal RNA". It matches the Rfam family "Bacterial small subunit ribosomal RNA", at positions 355 to 914 of the family's 1533-position model. The record is from RNAcentral.
UGGGGAAUUUUGGACAAUGGGCGAAAGCCUGAUCCAGCAAUGCCGCGUGUGUGAAGAAGGCCUUCGGGUUGUAAAGCACUUUUGUCCGGAAAGAAAUCCUUGGCUCUAAUACAGUCGGGGGAUGACGGUACCGGAAGAAUAAGCACCGGCUAACUACGUGCCAGCAGCCGCGGUAAUACGUAGGGUGCAAGCGUUAAUCGGAAUUACUGGGCGUAAAGCGUGCGCAGGCGGUUUGCUAAGACCGAUGUGAAAUCCCCGGGCUCAACCUGGGAACUGCAUUGGUGACUGGCAGGCUAGAGUAUGGCAGAGGGGGGUAGAAUUCCACGUGUAGCAGUGAAAUGCGUAGAGAUGUGGAGGAAUACCGAUGGCGAAGGCAGCCCCUGGGCCAAUACUGACGCUCAUGCACGAAAGCGUGGGGAGCAAACAGGAUUAGAUACCCUGGUAGUCCACGCCCUAAAACGAUGUCAACUAGUUGUUGGGGAUUCAUUUCCUUAGUAACGUAGCUAACGCGUGAAGUUGACCGCCUGGGGAGUACGGUCGCAAGAUUAAAACUUAAAGGAAUUGAC